AGAGUUUGAUCCUGGCUCAGAUUGAACGCUGGCGGCAGGCUUCACACAUGCAAGUCGAACGGUAACAGGAAGGAAGCUUGCUUUCUUUGCUGACGAGUGGCGGACGGGUGAGUAAUGCUUGGGAAUCUGGCUUAUGGAGGGGGAUAACUACGGGAAACUGUAGCUAAUACCGCGUAAUAUCUUCGGAUUAAAGGGUGGGACUUUCGGGCCACCUGCCAUAAGAUGAGCCCAAGUGGGAUUAGGUAGUUGGUGGGGUAAAGGCCUACCAAGCCGACGAUCUCUAGCUGGUCUGAGAGGAUGACCAGCCACACUGGAACUGAGACACGGUCCAGACUCCUACGGGAGGCAGCAGUGGGGAAUAUUGCACAAUGGGGGGAACCCUGAUGCAGCCAUGCCGCGUGAAUGAAGAAGGCCUUCGGGUUGUAAAGUUCUUUCGGUGAUGAGGAAGGUGUUUGUUUUAAUAGAACAAGCAAUUGACGUUAGUCACAGAAGAAGCACCGGCUAACUCCGUGCCAGCAGCCGCGGUAAUACGGAGGGUGCGAGCGUUAAUCGGAAUGACUGGGCGUAAAGGGCACGCAGGCGGUGACCUAAGUGAGAUGUGAAAGCCCCGAGCUUAACUUGGGAAUUGCAUUUCAUACUGGGUCGCUAGAGUAUUUUAGGGAGGGGUAGAAUUCCACGUGUAGCGGUGAAAUGCGUAGAGAUGUGGAGGAAUACCGAAGGCGAAGGCAGCCCCUUGGGAAUAUACUGACGCUCAUGUGCGAAAGCGUGGGGAGCAAACAGGAUUAGAUACCCUGGUAGUCCACGCUGUAAACGCUGUCUGAUUUGGGGAUUGGGCUUAGAGCUUGGUGCCCGUAGCUAGCGUGAUAAAUCGACCGCCUGGGGA
RNAcentral lists this ribosomal RNA (883 nucleotides) under uncultured bacterium. RNAcentral describes it as "bacterial SSU rRNA". It matches the Rfam family "Bacterial small subunit ribosomal RNA", at positions 8 to 879 of the family's 1533-position model. The record is from RNAcentral.